GGACUACACGGGUAUCUAAUCCUGUUUGCUACCCACGCUUUCGUGUCUCAGCGUCAGUGAUGGUCCAGAAAGCUGUCUACACCGCAGGUGUUCCUCCUGAUAUCUACGCAUUUCACCGCUACACCAGGAAUUCCGCUUUCCUCUCCCAUACUCCAGCCAUCCAGUUUCCCGCGCACCCUCCCAGUUAAGCCGGGAGAUUUCACACGGAACUUAGAGAACCGCCUACACACUCUUUACGCCCAGUAAUUCCGAACAACGCUUGCUGCCUACGUAUUACCGCGGCGGCUGGCAC
This 292-nucleotide ribosomal RNA is filed under the name uncultured Acidobacteriota bacterium. RNAcentral describes it as "uncultured Acidobacteria bacterium partial 16S ribosomal RNA". The record is from RNAcentral. Lineage: Bacteria; Pseudomonadati; Acidobacteriota.